CAGUCGCCGCGGUAAAACGUAGGGCGCAAGCGUUGUCCGGAAUUAUUGGGCGUAAAGAGCUCGUAGGCGGUCUGUCGCGUCUGGUGUGAAAUCCCGAGGCUCAACCUCGGGCUUGCAUCGGGUACGGGCAGACUAGAGUGCGGUAGGGGAGACUGGAAUUCCUGGUGUAGCGGUGGAAUGCGCAGAUAUCAGGAGGAACACCGAUGGCGAAGGCAGGUCUCUGGGCCGCAACUGACGCUGAGGAGCGAAAGCAUGGGGAGCGAACAGGAUUAGAUACCCCCGUAGUCCCUGUCUCUUAUAC
This 301-nucleotide ribosomal RNA is filed under the name uncultured bacterium. RNAcentral describes it as "partial 16S ribosomal RNA". It matches the Rfam family "Bacterial small subunit ribosomal RNA", at positions 509 to 807 of the family's 1533-position model. The record is from RNAcentral.